RNAcentral lists this microRNA (22 nucleotides) under Heligmosomoides polygyrus. Its description in RNAcentral is "hpo-miR-10128-3p". The record is from miRBase by way of RNAcentral. Lineage: Eukaryota; Metazoa; Nematoda; Chromadorea; Rhabditida; Heligmosomidae.
UUGGUGUAACGAGGUAGGAACU